RNAcentral lists this ribosomal RNA (253 nucleotides) under uncultured bacterium. Its description in RNAcentral is "partial 16S ribosomal RNA". It matches the Rfam family "Bacterial small subunit ribosomal RNA", at positions 524 to 776 of the family's 1533-position model. The record is from RNAcentral.
UACGUAGGGUCCGAGCGUUGUCCGGAAUUAUUGGGCGUAAAGAGCUCGUAGGCGGUUUGUCGCGUCUGCUGUGAAAUCCCGAGGCUCAACCUCGGGCCUGCAGUGGGUACGGGCAGACUGGAGUACGGUAGGGGCAGAGGGAAUUUCCGGUGGAGCGGUGAAAUGCAUUGAGAUCGGAAAGAACACCAACGGCGAAAGCACUCUGCUGGGCCACUACUGACGCUGAGGAGCGAAAGCGUGGGGAGCGAACAGG